RNAcentral lists this ribosomal RNA (498 nucleotides) under uncultured bacterium. RNAcentral describes it as "partial 16S ribosomal RNA". It matches the Rfam family "Bacterial small subunit ribosomal RNA", at positions 28 to 523 of the family's 1533-position model. The record is from RNAcentral.
GACGAACGCUGGCGGCGCGCCUAACACAUGCAAGUCGAGCGGAGAUACUUGAAGGAAGUUUUCGGAUGGAAUUUGAGUAUUUUAGCGGCGGACGGGUGAGUAACGCGUGAGUGACCUGCCUUCCACAGGGGGAUAACGUACCGAAAGGUACACUAAUACCGCAUGAGACCACAGCACUGCCUGGUGCAGGGGUCAAAGGAGCAAUCCGGUGGAAGAUGGACUCGCGUCCGAUUAGAUAGUUGGUGGGGUAACGGCCUACCAAGUCAGCGAUCGGUAGCCGACCUGAGAGGGUGAUCGGCCACAGUGGAACUGAGAGACGGUCCAAACUCCUACGGGAGGCAGCAGUGGGGAAUAUUGGGCAAUGGGGGAAACCCUGACCCAGCGACGCCGCGUGAGGGAAGAAGGUUUUCGGAUUGUAAACCUCUGUUCUUGGUGAAGAGGGAAAGACGGUAGCCAAGGAGGAAGCCCCGGCUAACUACGUGCCAGCAGCCGCGGUAA